Long non-coding RNA from Labeo rohita (rohu), 255 nucleotides. RefSeq lists it as uncharacterized. The transcript is spliced from 3 exons. NCBI's taxonomy places the organism in Eukaryota, Metazoa, Chordata, Actinopteri, Cypriniformes, Cyprinidae. The record is from RefSeq and is a predicted model, not a curated record.
UUUGUUUUCAGAACACGGCCAUCCAGAUGGAGCACUGCAUCCUAAUUACCAGAGCUGAAGGACAGAGGACAUCUCCGCGCCUCCUUGGCCUGGUGCAUCCGGUCAAAUGAGAUUCCCGAGAUGUGAAAGAAAUAGCCAUACACAGUAAAUCAAAGGCGUGGCCCUCGGAUUGUAGCAAUGAGCCGCCCUGCCAGCCGAUCGGAUGAGAGGAAAUCCACUGCAUACAGAUUUCAACAUCAGCUGCCAAACAUAAUG